AACGAACGCUGGCGGCACGCCUAACACAUGCAAGUCGAACGAAGCUUCACCUUCGGGUGAAUGACUGAGUGGCGGACGGGUGAGUAACGCGUGGGAACCUGCCCUGUAGUAAGGGAUAACGUCUGGAAACGGUCGCUAAUACCUUAUAAUACUCUUCGGAGGAAAGAUUUAUCGCUAUAGGAUGGGCCCGCGUUGGAUUAGGUAGUUGGUGAGGUAAAGGCUCACCAAGCCGAUGAUCCAUAGCUGGUUUGAGAGGAUGAUCAGCCACACUGGGACUGAGACACGGCCCAG
RNAcentral lists this ribosomal RNA (291 nucleotides) under uncultured bacterium. RNAcentral's name for it is "partial 16S ribosomal RNA". It matches the Rfam family "Bacterial small subunit ribosomal RNA", at positions 29 to 334 of the family's 1533-position model. The record is from RNAcentral.